This 870-nucleotide ribosomal RNA is filed under the name Albatrellus ovinus. RNAcentral's name for it is "eukaryotic LSU rRNA". It matches the Rfam family "Eukaryotic large subunit ribosomal RNA", at positions 74 to 915 of the family's 3401-position model. The record is from RNAcentral. Lineage: Eukaryota; Fungi; Basidiomycota; Agaricomycetes; Russulales; Albatrellaceae.
AUUCCCCUAGUAACUGCGAGUGAAGCGGGAAAAGCUCAAAUUUGAAAUCUGGCGGUCUUUGGCCGUCCGAGUUGUAGUCUGGAGAAGCGCUUUCCGCGCCGGACCGUGUACAAGUCCUCUGGAACGGGGCGUCGUAGAGGGUGAGAAUCCCGUCUUUGACACGGACUACCGGUGCUCUGUGAUGCGCUCUCGAAGAGUCGAGUUGUUUGGGAAUGCAGCUCAAAAUGGGUGGUGAACUCCAUCUAAAGCUAAAUAUUGGCGAGAGACCGAUAGCGAACAAGUACCGUGAGGGAAAGAUGAAAAGCACUUUGGAAAGAGAGUUAAACAGUACGUGAAAUUGUUGAAAGGGAAACGCUUGAAGUCAGUCACGUUCGUCCAGGAUUCAGCCUUGAGGUUUCUCUUCGGUGUAAUUUUCUGGUUUCGACGGGCCAGCAUCGAUUUCGAUUCGUCGGACAAAGACCCGGGGAAACGUGGCACCUUUCGGGGUGUGUUAUAGUCCCUUGUCGGUAUACGAUGGUCGGGAUCGAGGAACUCGGCACGCCUUUGUGGUCGGGGCUCAGGCCCACGUCUCGUGCUUAGGAUGCUGGCGUAAUGGCUUUAAACGACCCGUCUUGAAACACGGACCAAGGAGUCUAACAUGCCCGCGAGUGUUAGGGUGGAAAACCCUUGCGCGUAAAUGAAAGUGAAAGUUGGGACCUUCGAGAGGAGGGCACCGACGCCCGGACCAGACCUUCUGUGACGGAUCCGCGGUGGAGCGUGUAUGUUGGGACCCGAAAGAUGGUGAACUAUGCCUGAAUAGGGUGAAGCCAGAGGAAACUCUGGUGGAGGCUCGUAGCGAUUCUGACGUGCAAAUCGAUCGUCGAAUUUGGG